Molecule: ribosomal RNA, 549 nt
Filed under: uncultured bacterium
Lineage: Bacteria
Description: bacterial SSU rRNA
Rfam family: Bacterial small subunit ribosomal RNA
Source: RNAcentral
UGGGGAAUAUUGGACAAUGGGCGAAAGCCUGAUCCAGCCAUGCCGCGUGUGUGAAGAAGGCCUUUUGGUUGUAAAGCACUUUAAGUGGGGAGGAAAAGCUUAUGGUUAAUACCCAUAAGCCCUGACGUUACCCACAGAAUAAGCACCGGCUAACUCUGUGCCAGCAGCCGCGGUAAUACAGAGGGUGCAAGCGUUAAUCGGAAUUACUGGGCGUAAAGCGCGCGUAGGUGGUUAUUUAAGUCAGAUGUGAAAGCCCCGGGCUUAACCUGGGAACUGCAUCUGAUACUGGAUAACUAGAGUAGGUGAGAGGGGAGUAGAAUUCCAGGUGUAGCGGUGAAAUGCGUAGAGAUCUGGAGGAAUACCGAUGGCGAAGGCAGCUCCCUGGCAUCAUACUGACACUGAGGUGCGAAAGCGUGGGUAGCAAACAGGAUUAGAUACCCUGGUAGUCCACGCCGUAAACGAUGUCUACCAGUCGUUGGGUCUUUUAAAGACUUAGUGACGCAGUUAACGCAAUAAGUAGACCGCCUGGGGAGUACGGCCGCAAGGCUA